Molecule: ribosomal RNA, 497 nt
Filed under: uncultured bacterium
Lineage: Bacteria
Description: partial 16S ribosomal RNA
Rfam family: Bacterial small subunit ribosomal RNA
Source: RNAcentral
GAUGAACGCUGGCGGCGUGCCUAAUACAUGCAAGUCGAGCGAACAGACGAGGAGCUUGCUCCUCUGACGUUAGCGGCGGACGGGUGAGUAACACGUGGAUAACCUACCUAUAAGACUGGGAUAACUUCGGGAAACCGGAGCUAAUACCGGAUAAUAUAUUUAACCGCAUGGUUCAAUAGUGAAAGACGGUUUUGCUGUCACUUAUAGAUGGAUCCGCGCCGCAUUAGCUAGUUGGUAAGGUAACGGCUUACCAAGGCAACGAUGCGUAGCCGACCUGAGAGGGUGAUCGGCCACACUGGAACUGAGACACGGUCCAGACUCCAACGGGAGGCAGCAGUAGGGAAUCUUCCGCAAUGGGCGAAAGCCUGACGGAGCAACGCCGCGUGAGUGAUGACGGUCUUCGGAUCGUAAAACUCUGUUAUUAGGGAAGAACAAAUGUGUAAGUAACUAUGCACGUCUUGAGGGUACCUAAUCAGAAAGCCAGGGCUAACUACGUG